RNAcentral lists this transfer RNA (83 nucleotides) under Fistulina hepatica ATCC 64428. Its description in RNAcentral is "tRNA-Trp". The record is from RNAcentral. Lineage: Eukaryota; Fungi; Basidiomycota; Agaricomycetes; Agaricales; Fistulinaceae.
GAACCCUUGGUGUAGUGGCUAUCACGUCUGAUUCCAGUACUAGGAUAUCCAGAAGGUCAUCCGUUCAAGUCGGGUAGGGUUCA